GAAGACAGAUACCCUGUCCGCGACGCCUGGUUCUGGCCUCAUAUACAUGUAAGUACCCGUUCGUUCAUUAAUAGAUAGCAUAUAAGGAAGUGUGUCGUCUGAAUUUGGAUCAUGCCAUGCACAAGACUAUUCAGAUUGUUUUCUUGAGGAAAGUGAGUAUUCAAGUUGGUUAGAUGAAAGUGUAUCAUCAUUUUUUCAUGAAAAAUAAUUUCAUAAUACCAUAUUGCAGUGACUUCCUAUGUCAUCAGCAAAUGCAGUGGAGAAGAAGCCGGUUCACCACAUGAUCAUUUAAUUUGUUAUUGUUUUUUAACUAUUCCCUGUUGCAUGUAUAAUCAGAAAAAAUAAAACUCCUCCUUUCGGCCCAUAAUAGGAGUCUGGAAGUGAU
RNAcentral lists this long non-coding RNA (385 nucleotides) under Triticum aestivum (bread wheat). RNAcentral's name for it is "long non-coding RNA (TAES_LNC009281)". The record is from RNAcentral. Lineage: Eukaryota; Viridiplantae; Streptophyta; Magnoliopsida; Poales; Poaceae.